GCGAGUUGGCGCGUGGCUCUCGAGCCGAACAUCAUGAGGCUUGAGGAAACUCCGCCCACACGUAGAAGUGCAACGCCCGUAAGGGCGUAGGGCGAGAGCCUUGGCAACGGAGCAGAAACGAAACGUCCACCCAAAAGAUGCCAAUGAGGCAUGCUAAGUUGUCGAGAAUGCUGGGUGGAAACGGUGAAACGGCCGUCCUGCACGUGGAAAGGGCAAACAAGCGCUGAUGAAGCCUCUACCCAAGGCGCAGGUAGCCCGAUUAGCUGAAUGCCACAUAAAACAGAAGGCGGGUUACAGCCAACACGC
RNAcentral lists this RNase P RNA (306 nucleotides) under Candidatus Bathyarchaeota archaeon. RNAcentral's name for it is "RNase P RNA component". It matches the Rfam family "Archaeal RNase P". Rfam says of the family: Ribonuclease P (RNase P) is a ubiquitous endoribonuclease, found in archaea, bacteria and eukarya as well as chloroplasts and mitochondria. Its best characterised activity is the generation of mature 5'-ends of tRNAs by cleaving the 5'-leader elements of precursor-tRNAs. Lineage: Archaea; Thermoproteati; Candidatus Bathyarchaeota. The record is from RNAcentral.